RNAcentral lists this ribosomal RNA (377 nucleotides) under Staphylococcus epidermidis. RNAcentral's name for it is "bacterial SSU rRNA". It matches the Rfam family "Bacterial small subunit ribosomal RNA", at positions 1 to 366 of the family's 1533-position model. Lineage: Bacteria; Bacillati; Bacillota; Bacilli; Caryophanales; Staphylococcaceae. The record is from RNAcentral.
UUUUAUGGAGAGUUUGAUCCUGGCUCAGGAUGAACGCUGGCGGCGUGCCUAAUACAUGCAAGUCGAGCGAACAGACGAGGAGCUUGCUCCUCUGACGUUAGCGGCGGACGGGUGAGUAACACGUGGAUAACCUACCUAUAAGACUGGGAUAACUUCGGGAAACCGGAGCUAAUACCGGAUAAUAUAUUGAACCGCAUGGUUCAAUAGUGAAAGACGGUUUUGCUGUCACUUAUAGAUGGAUCCGCGCCGCAUUAGCUAGUUGGUAAGGUAACGGCUUACCAAGGCAACGAUGCGUAGCCGACCUGAGAGGGUGAUCGGCCACACUGGAACUGAGACAAGGUCCAGACUCCUACGGGAGGCAGCAGUAGGGACUCUUC